AUUGAACGCUGGCGGCAGGCCUAACACAUGCAAGUCGAGCGAGCGGCGGACGGGUGAGUAAUGUCUGGGAAACUGCCUGCUGGAGGGGGAUAACUACUGGAAACGGUCGCUAAUACCGCAUACCAUCAGAUGUGCCCAUAUGGGGUUAGCUAGUAGGUGGGGUAACGGCUCACCUAGGCGACGAUCCCUAGCUGGUAUGAGAGGAUGACCAGCCACACUGGAAUUGAGACACGGUCCAGACUCCUACGGGAGGCAGCAGUGGGGAAUAUUGCACAAUGGGCGCAAUCCUGAUGCAGCCAUGCCGCGUGUGUGAAGAAGGCCUUCGGGUUGUAAAGCACUUUCAGCGGGGAGGCGUUACCCGCAGAAGAAGCACCGGCUAACUCCGUGCCAGCAGCCGCGGUAAUUC
RNAcentral lists this ribosomal RNA (406 nucleotides) under uncultured bacterium. RNAcentral's name for it is "partial 16S ribosomal RNA". It matches the Rfam family "Bacterial small subunit ribosomal RNA", at positions 30 to 526 of the family's 1533-position model. The record is from RNAcentral.